AGGACGAACGCUGGCGGCGUGCCUAACACAUGCAAGUCGAACGAGGUCCAACCGGUGGCAACACUGGUGAAGACCUAGUGGCGAACGGGUGAGUAUCACGUGAGCAACCUGCCCCGAAGACUGGGAUAACACCGGGAAACCGGUGCUAAUACCGGAUACCCCCACCGGAUCGCAUGGCCUGGUGAGGAAAUGAAUUUUGCUUUGGGAGGGACUCGCGGCCUGUCAGCUUGUUGGUGGUGUAACGGAUCACCAAGGCUUCGACGGGUAGCUGGUCUGAGAGGACGAUCAGCCACACUGGGACUGAGACACGGCCCAGACUCCUACGGGAGGCAGCAGUGGGGAAUCUUGCGCAAUGGGCGAAAGCCUGACGCAGCAACGCCGCGUGAGGGACGAAGGCCUUCUGGGUUGUAAACCUCGUUUCAGCAGGGACGAUGAUGACGGUACCUGCAGAAGAAGCCCCGGCAACUACGUGCCAGCAGCCGC
This 483-nucleotide ribosomal RNA is filed under the name uncultured bacterium. RNAcentral's name for it is "SSU rRNA". It matches the Rfam family "Bacterial small subunit ribosomal RNA", at positions 26 to 518 of the family's 1533-position model. The record is from RNAcentral.